GACGACCGCUGGCGGCGUGCUUAACACAUGCAAGUCGAGCCGAGCGGCGAACGGGUGAGUAACGCGUGAGUAACUGCCCCCCUCCCUGGGAUAACAGUUGGACACGGCUGCUAAUACCGGCUAGUGGGGGAUGAAUCGCGUCCUAUCAGCUUGUUGUUGGGGUAGUGGCCUACCAAGGCGACGACGGGUAGCCGGCCUGAGAGGGCGACCGGCCAAAUUGGGCUGAGGUACGGCCCAAACUCCUACGGGAGGCAGCAGUGGGGAAUAUUGCACAAUGGGGGAAACCCUGAUGCAGAAAUGCCGCGUGCGGGAUGACGGCCUUCGGGUUGUAAACCGCUUUCAGCCAGGACGCGGUAGUGGCAGAAGAAGCACCGGCUAACUACGUGCCAGCAGCCGCGGUAAUUC
RNAcentral lists this ribosomal RNA (405 nucleotides) under uncultured bacterium. Its description in RNAcentral is "partial 16S ribosomal RNA". It matches the Rfam family "Bacterial small subunit ribosomal RNA", at positions 28 to 526 of the family's 1533-position model. The record is from RNAcentral.